GUCUACGGCUCUACUACCCUGAAUGCACCUGAUCUUGUCUGAUCUCAGAAGCUAAGCAGGGUUGGGCCUGGUUAGUACUUGGAUGGGAAGAGAGUAUGCCCCUAAGUGUGAGAAGGUGCAAACU
This is a ribosomal RNA of Cricetulus griseus (Chinese hamster), 124 nucleotides long. The record is from Ensembl. NCBI's taxonomy places the organism in Eukaryota, Metazoa, Chordata, Mammalia, Rodentia, Cricetidae.